AUAUUAUAAUUUAGUACUGUAAAGAAAAAUAAAUUAAAUAUUUAUUUGUACCUUUUGCAUAAUGGUUUAAUAAUAGUAUUAAAAGAUUUUUUUUCCCGAAAUUAGAAGAUUUAACUUUGUUAAAAUUUUAGGUAGUUAUAUAAUAUAAUGUUUCAAAAUUAUAAAUAUAAACAAAGUUAGGGGUGAAAGGCUUAUCAAUUCUAUAGAUAUCUGGAAUAAUUUUAAAUGUAUUUAGUACAGUAUAAUGGUUUGAAUAAAAAAAUCUUAAGAUUUUUUUAUUUUUAGAAUAGUACUUCUUAUAAUUUUGUGAAUUAACCUUCUUAUAAUUAAAUUUAUUAAUAAUUUUAAAGUAGAAUAAUCUAAAUUAUAAAAUUAUUAAAAUAUAAAUUUUUUAAUAUAUAAACUAUGUUAAAAUUAGUAUAAUACUAUUUGUUUUUUAAAGGAACUCGGCAAAUUUAUUAUUCAUCUGUUUAUCAAA
This 478-nucleotide ribosomal RNA is filed under the name Parmacochlea balios. Its description in RNAcentral is "partial 16S ribosomal RNA". The record is from RNAcentral. Lineage: Eukaryota; Metazoa; Mollusca; Gastropoda; Stylommatophora; Helicarionidae.